GAUGAACGCUGGCGGCGUGCCUAAUACAUGCAAGUCGAGCGAACAGACGAGGAGCUUGCUCCUCUAACGUUAGCGGCGGACGGGUGAGUAACACGUGGAUAACCUACCUAUAAGACUGGGAUAACUUCGGGAAACCGGAGCUAAUACCGGAUAAUAUAUUGAACCGCAUGGUUCAAUAGUGAAAGACGGUUUUGCUGUCACUUAUAGAUGGAUCCGCGCCGCAUUAGCUAGUUGGUAAGGUAACAGCUUACCAAGGCAACGAUGCGUAGCCGACCUGAGAGGGUGAUCGGCCACACUGGAACUGAGACACGGUCCAGACGCCUACGGGAGGCAGCAGUAGGGAAUCUUCCGCAAUGGGCGAAAGCCUGACGGAGCAACGCCGCGUGAGUGAUGAAGGUCUUCGGAUCGUAAAACUCUGUUAUUAGGGAAGAACAAAUGUGUAAGUAACUAUGCACGUCUUGACGGUACCUAAUCAGAAAGCCACGGCUAACUACGUG
This 497-nucleotide ribosomal RNA is filed under the name uncultured bacterium. RNAcentral describes it as "partial 16S ribosomal RNA". It matches the Rfam family "Bacterial small subunit ribosomal RNA", at positions 28 to 507 of the family's 1533-position model. The record is from RNAcentral.